UUUUUUAAUUUGUGCAGAAACAAUUAUUUUAAUUAAGGACAAGAAGACCCUAAGAAUUUUUGAAUUUAAAUAAUAUAUUUAUGUAUUAAUUAAAUUUUAGCUGGGGCGGCUAAGAAAUAUUAAAAACUUUUUAAUUUAAAGCGACCCAUUAUUAAUGAUUAUAUGAAAAAAUACUCUAGGGAUAACAGCGUUAUAUUUUUUGAUAGACCAUAUUGACAAAAAAGUUUGCGACCUCGAUGUUGGAUUAGGAUACUUUUUUAAUGAAGAUAUUAAAAAAAGAA
This 281-nucleotide ribosomal RNA is filed under the name Rhipicephalus bursa. Its description in RNAcentral is "partial 16S ribosomal RNA". Lineage: Eukaryota; Metazoa; Arthropoda; Arachnida; Ixodida; Ixodidae. The record is from RNAcentral.